RNAcentral lists this ribosomal RNA (745 nucleotides) under Staphylococcus sp. Y76-MSE-E14. RNAcentral's name for it is "bacterial SSU rRNA". It matches the Rfam family "Bacterial small subunit ribosomal RNA", at positions 56 to 784 of the family's 1533-position model. Lineage: Bacteria; Bacillati; Bacillota; Bacilli; Caryophanales; Staphylococcaceae. The record is from RNAcentral.
UGCAAGUCGAGCGAACAGAUAGGAGCUUGCUCCUUUGACGUUAGCGGCGGACGGGUGAGUAACACGUGGGUAACCUACCUAUAAGACUGGGAUAACUUCGGGAAACCGGAGCUAAUACCGGAUAAUAUUUCGAACCGCAUGGUUCGAUAGUGAAAGAUGGUUUUGCUAUCACUUAUAGAUGGACCCGCGCCGUAUUAGCUAGUUGGUAAGGUAACGGCUUACCAAGGCGACGAUACGUAGCCGACCUGAGAGGGUGAUCGGCCACACUGGAACUGAGACACGGUCCAGACUCCUACGGGAGGCAGCAGUAGGGAAUCUUCCGCAAUGGGCGAAAGCCUGACGGAGCAACGCCGCGUGAGUGAUGAAGGUCUUCGGAUCGUAAAACUCUGUUAUUAGGGAAGAACAUACGUGUAAGUAACUAUGCACGUCUUGACGGUACCUAAUCAGAAAGCCACGGCUAACUACGUGCCAGCAGCCGCGGUAAUACGUAGGUGGCAAGCGUUAUCCGGAAUUAUUGGGCGUAAAGCGCGCGUAGGCGGUUUUUUAAGUCUGAUGUGAAAGCCCACGGCUCAACCGUGGAGGGUCAUUGGAAACUGGAAAACUUGAGUGCAGAAGAGGAAAGUGGAAUUCCAUGUGUAGCGGUGAAAUGCGCAGAGAUAUGGAGGAACACCAGUGGCGAAGGCGACUUUCUGGUCUGUAACUGACGCUGAUGUGCGAAAGCGUGGGGAUCAAACAGGAUUAGAUA